Pelobates cultripes (western spadefoot toad) is the source of this 388-nucleotide non-coding RNA. The record is from the annotation of a GenBank genome assembly. Lineage: Eukaryota; Metazoa; Chordata; Amphibia; Anura; Pelobatidae.
CUGCUUUUGAAUUGCCUCAUCCAAUGGAGACAGGUGUAACACCAUCUGCUACCAGUGCCACAAGUAGCCUAACCAUUGUAUAUUGUUACUAUGACUACUACCACCACCAUUAUCACUAUCAUCACUAUCAUCAGAGCCACCACCAUCAUCAUUUGCAAUAGUCGAACAACUACUAGUGUAGAGGCUUGUGUUACGACAGCUUCCACUGUAACUGAUGUAAAUCCACCCACAACUUUAACAAUCACUAGGCAAAGGGUUGGGGCUAGAGUUUGGUCUUACUCUGAGGGCUAUUUGCAAAGAGCAAAAUGUGAAGUAAGCAAAUCAGAGAGAUGAUGAAAGCAGGUUGACGGUGAGGAUAGUGAUAGUUGAUUUGCAGUGUGCUUCUGUG